CAAUGUGAUGGCGAUUUGGCUGUGACAUCGAUCAUCUCAUUGAUUACCAGGGUUGAUUCAGCUGAUCUGGCUGGCUAGGUGGGUGUUGCCUCCCUUACUGCUCCAAGUGUGUUCCUCCCAAAGCUGCACAUUCAGUUGAAGUGACGAACCAUACCAGAAUAGAGACCACUGGUCUUGGGCCAAGGGUAUAAGAGUAGCAAUGCUUCCCUGCUACAACCUCCAAGCUCUCAAAAGACUGCAUUAAAAAAUGAAUAUAUAUUUGCUAUUUUGUGAUUGUUCUAUGUUAGAAUGUCACCUGCUAA
This 302-nucleotide small nuclear RNA is filed under the name Erinaceus europaeus (western European hedgehog). RNAcentral's name for it is "7SK RNA". It matches the Rfam family "7SK RNA". Rfam says of the family: 7SK was discovered as an abundant small nuclear RNA in the mid-70s but a possible function has only recently been suggested. The record is from Rfam by way of RNAcentral. Lineage: Eukaryota; Metazoa; Chordata; Mammalia; Eulipotyphla; Erinaceidae.